RNAcentral lists this ribosomal RNA (405 nucleotides) under uncultured Eubacteriales bacterium. RNAcentral's name for it is "uncultured Clostridiales bacterium partial 16S ribosomal RNA". It matches the Rfam family "Bacterial small subunit ribosomal RNA", at positions 355 to 774 of the family's 1533-position model. Lineage: Bacteria; Bacillati; Bacillota; Clostridia; Eubacteriales. The record is from RNAcentral.
UGGGGAAUAUUGGGCAAUGGAGGAAACUCUGACCCAGCAACGCCGCGUGAGUGAAGAAGGUCUUCGGAUUGUAAAGCUCUGUGAUAUGGGACGAAAAAAAUGACGGUACCAUAUAAGCAAGCCACGGCUAACUACGUGCCAGCAGCCGCGGUAAUACGUAGGUGGCGAGCGUUGUCCGGAAUGACUGGGCGUAAAGGGUGCGUAGGUGGCUAUGUAAGUUAGCAGUGAAAUCCCGGGGCUUAACCCCGGUGCUACUGUUAAAACUGCGUAGCUUGAGUACAGGAGAGGUAAGUGGAAUUCCUAGUGUAGCGGUGGAAUGCGUAGAUAUUAGGAGGAACACCAGAGGCGAAGGCGACUUACUGGACUGCAACUGACACUGAGGCACGAAAGCGUGGGGAUCAAACA